UUCGCUUCCUGUCCAGCAGCUCCAGAUGGGGCAGAUCAAUGCGCGCAUUCCAGUUUAUUGUAACUGUAGAGGCAUGUGAUUUCAGCUCGUUAUGUCCGCGCGCUGGAUUGAGCACAAUGCAGUGAAUAUGGUGCCACUUGGAAACACGGAGCUCUGCGAACAAUUUACAUUGCAAUUACUUCUGAAGCCAUUUAUACGGAGUGAAACCACGGCUAUCUCGCGCAAGGUUGUUUUCUUGAGGUGACUACAGAGCCAUGAGGUCCUCAUCCUCGCGUUUAUCAAGUUUUUCCUCCAGGGAUUCUUUAUGGAGUCGGAUGCCGGAUCAGAUCUCCGUGUCCGAGUUUCUCUCGGAGACGACGGAGGAUUACAAUUCCCCCACGACAUCCAGCUUCACCACCCGCUUGCAGAGCUGUCGGAACACGGUCAAUGUUCUGGAAGAGGUAAGGCCGCUCUGUCA
Molecule: long non-coding RNA, 457 nt
Organism: Carassius auratus (goldfish)
Lineage: Eukaryota; Metazoa; Chordata; Actinopteri; Cypriniformes; Cyprinidae
Exons: 3
Source: RefSeq, a predicted model, not a curated record